This 472-nucleotide ribosomal RNA is filed under the name uncultured bacterium. RNAcentral's name for it is "bacterial SSU rRNA". It matches the Rfam family "Bacterial small subunit ribosomal RNA", at positions 355 to 825 of the family's 1533-position model. The record is from RNAcentral.
UCGGGAAUUUUGGGCAAUGGGCGAAAGCCUGACCCAGCAACGCCGCGUGAGUGAAGAAGGCCUUCGGGUUGUAAAGCUCUUUUGUCAGGGAAGAAACGGUAGUAGCGAAUAACUAUUACUAAUGACGGUACCUGAAGAAUAAGCACCGGCUAACUACGUGCCAGCAGCCGCGGUAAUACGUAGGGUGCAAGCGUUAAUCGGAAUUACUGGGCGUAAAGCGUGCGCAGGCGGUUGUGUAAGUCAGAUGUGAAAUCCCCGGGCUCAACCUGGGAAUUGCAUUUGAGACUGCACGGCUAGAGUGUGUCAGAGGGGGGUAGAAUUCCACGUGUAGCAGUGAAAUGCGUAGAUAUGUGGAGGAAUACCGAUGGCGAAGGCAGCCCCCUGGGAUAACACUGACGCUCAUGCACGAAAGCGUGGGGAGCAAACAGGAUUAGAUACCCCCGUAGUCCCUGAGCGGGCUGGCAAGGCGCAU